Molecule: ribosomal RNA, 254 nt
Filed under: uncultured bacterium
Lineage: Bacteria
Description: partial 16S ribosomal RNA
Rfam family: Bacterial small subunit ribosomal RNA
Source: RNAcentral
UACGGGGGGAGCAAGCGUUGUUCGGAUUUACUGGGCGUAAAGGGCGCGUAGGCGGCCAGCACAAGUCAGUUGUGAAAUCUCCGAGCUUAACUCGGAAAGGUCAACUGAUACUGUGCGGCUAGAGUGCAGAAGGGGCAACUGGAAUUCUUGGUGUAGCGGUGAAAUGCGUAGAUAUCAAGAGGAACACCUGCGGCGAAGGCGGGUUGCUGGGCUGACACUGACGCUGAGGCGCGAAAGCUAGGGGAGCGGACGGG